UCUAGCCCAGGCGGUAAGAGAGACUCCAUCUCAAAAAAAAAAAAAAAAAAAAAGAAAAAAGAAACUGACAACACUGCUGCUGACAUUUUUUCAAUGGCAAUCCCAAAUUCAAACUGAAACCCCACUGAAGAGCUAAGCUUCAUUAGAUCUCUACAGGCUGACUUACAUCAAGUGGAAUUUACUGUUGAUUCUGGGUAUAAUACAGAAACAGCUGUUUAUCUUCAGCUUGCUUUCUGAUGCACAUCUGUUUGGGUUACUUCAAGAGGCAUCAUGGAGGAUUCAAGUUUAGGGAGGAUACAGAUGCUCAAAUCUGAUGAACAAUUGGCUUAUUCUUCCUCAAUGAAUAUAUUCAGAAAGCUUGUUAGCCAUUGAAUAAACACGUUGCAUUAGGGGAUGAUUGUUUACAAAUACCUUAUCUUGUGGAAUAAACUGAAGUUGUGCUUUCCUUCAUUAACGUGCACAGAAGCAGUUGGCAAAUAGAAAGUGCUCAAAAAAGUUUGUAGUCUGUGCCUGCCACUAUUAUAUUUCAUCAUCAUAGAUGCCAGAAUCCCCUCUUCACCUAUUGCCCGGAAUCUGCCUAAUGAGAUAUUUGCUCCACCCCCUGCUGUAACUACAUCAUAGCAAGAGAGCCAUCACUCAGGCCCUUUCAACUUUUCAAUAUGUCUCAGAGCUAAAUCCUCUUUGAUGUUUGCAAGAUGACCUAUUGGUUCCUGCCCCCAACCAUCACUCACUGGAUUGCUGAUUCUCAAAACACCAAAUUAAGAAGGAACUAGAGAGAGAAGGUUGCCAAUUGACAUCUGGACAACGGCCAUGAAACUCUUAGUGGCUCUCCGUUCCUGCUGCACAUGUGGAAAGCUUCGUGAAGAUGCUCAGAUACCACCCUUAGAUUAACCCAGUCUGUAUCUCUUCCAGGAGUGAGACCCAGACAGCCCAGGUGAUUCCGAUACACAGCGAAGGUUGAAAAUUAUGCCUCGCUAGUAAAAACCAUCCUCUGCACUCCUCUCCCUGUUAUUCAUCUCAGCUGAUCAUCAAAAAAUAGGCAUCAUCAACCUCAUUUUACAGAUGAGGAAGUGAAUCACGAAGUCACUGAGCAGAUUCAGCUGUCAUCUAGUUUCAAAGCCUUGGGUUCUACCCCCCUAGGGAACCGCUGUUGGCAGGUAGUAUGAAUGCCAUCUCGGUUGGAUGAGUGUAAGUUGGGGAAAGCUAGAUAUUCUCAAAGGAGUGUUAAACGGCCAGAUUAUUUGGCGAUCCAGAAAUUCAGGGGAAAAGGAGGGACAUUGUAAGACCCAGCUUGGAGCGCACAGACCUUAAGAGUUAACUGUCACACCUGGGAGUGAUUCUUGAGUCUUUCACUAACCAGAUGUGUGACCUCAAGCAAAGUGACUCUACUAACCUGAGCCUCAAGGACCUCAACAGAAAUUGGGGGGAAGGGGAGUUAAUAAAAACACCCAUAGAGGAAUUUUGCAGAAUUGAAUGUGAUCAGCGUCUCCUUCUUGGCACAUAAGUGCCCAAUAUGUAGCAGUUAAAAUGGCGGUGGUCUUAGAAGAGUCUGGACCUAUGGACCGUGGACUUAGACUGAGCAGCUCUGAAGUCCAACCAUGCUAAUUGUUGGUUACAUAAACCUCGGUAAGUUGAACAUAGUUGCUCUGACUCGGUUUCCUCAUCUAUAAAGUGGGAGUAAUCAUAUUACCCAUAUCAUAGAAUAGUUUUAAGUAUUAAGAGGAUUAAUAAAUGUGAAAUGUUUAGAAAAGUGCCUGAUGCAUUAUAAAAAGUACUCCAUAAACACAAGCUACUGCUACCUUUUGAAACUAUGAUUAGAUAUUAAAACAGGUCACACCGUAUACCCCUCUGAAGACUCCCAGGGAUUAUAGAACACCCCUUCUUUUCCAUGUCGACAAGGAUUCAGUAAGUAAGUCUUCCCUUGGCUAAUGGGUUCAUUCAAGCUGCGUAUUUGGGGCAACUGAGUAUAGGACAAGGACAUAUGCAAGAAUGACAACAAGAUUAUUAUUUCCACACUGUCACAUGCUUGAGGCAGCAGUGGGCGCUGGUGCCGUGUUAUGCAUCCUCAGGCAGUCCUAGAAAUAGAUACAUGGACACAGAUAACCUUCACUGUUGCUGGUAUCCAGUCACUUGCAGAGGGGCACGCGUAGUCACAAUCAAGACUCCCCCUGCUGCGGAGAACUUACUUUUGAGCUUCAAUCUGGGCCCAGGGGCCCCAUUCCACCCCGGGACAGGAAGUU
This 2240-nucleotide long non-coding RNA is filed under the name Homo sapiens (human). RNAcentral describes it as "HSALNT0384913". The record is from RNAcentral. Lineage: Eukaryota; Metazoa; Chordata; Mammalia; Primates; Hominidae.